Long non-coding RNA from Spinacia oleracea (spinach), 374 nucleotides. RefSeq lists it as uncharacterized. NCBI's taxonomy places the organism in Eukaryota, Viridiplantae, Streptophyta, Magnoliopsida, Caryophyllales, Amaranthaceae. The record is from RefSeq and is a predicted model, not a curated record. The transcript is spliced from 3 exons.
GUUUGAUGUUAACCGUGCACUCGUAACCUGUUGUCCGAGUUCAUCGCAGCAACCACGCGAGCUGAAGGCCAUAACUCCAUGUCGUCUUGCCCUUGAGGAUAAAGUUUUGGGUAACAAAGUGAUAGUGGCAGAUGGUAUGGCGUACCCAUUGGAUGGUUCGUUGCACCAACACUUUAGAUCGAUGAAGCCUAGUCAUUAUAAGGUCCAAGUUGAUUGUAUUUACGACGGACAUGAUGAUGACACUCUUCCGGUACCUACUGGAGAUGGAUUCAAUAACUUAGGCAGGGCUCUUGCUAGUUUUGUGCAAUGGCCAAUUCACUUGGUGAUUUUCGAAGAAGACGAGGACUCUACUCCACGCCCAACAAAGAAGUCCA